This is a small nucleolar RNA of Gasterosteus aculeatus aculeatus (three-spined stickleback), 68 nucleotides long. The record is from Ensembl. Lineage: Eukaryota; Metazoa; Chordata; Actinopteri; Perciformes; Gasterosteidae.
UGUGAAUGAUGAUAUUCCUUUUCCUGACUUUAUUGUGGGGGUACAAACUGAUUUAAUGAGGCUGAUGC